RNAcentral lists this long non-coding RNA (482 nucleotides) under Homo sapiens (human). RNAcentral's name for it is "HSALNT0297426". Lineage: Eukaryota; Metazoa; Chordata; Mammalia; Primates; Hominidae. The record is from RNAcentral.
AGCCACCACCUUCGCACGGUUACCUCUCUGGGUUUGUUCCUCCGGCAGCGCUUAUCCUGAUCAGUGGCUCUUGAACCUCCUGGGGGGACUGCGGAAUCUCCGGGGCUGCCCGCCUGCCCAGCAGCACCUUCAGCAGCCUCUGGCCGGGCUUUCCUGCCACAGCACCGGGAGCCAGGUGUGCACACAUCUGGAGGAUCUUUCCAAUUCCCUCACUUCCAAGACUCCUGCCAAUUGGUUCUGAGGCUAAAGGCCAGAGGAGCAGACAUGGCCUUGAGGCCCUACAGGUCUCAAUAAAGAACUCACGCCUUAGGAAAUGGGGAGCCCCUGAUGGCUCUGAAGGAGGGAAGUGACCUGGUCUGAUUAAAAGCAUACUCUCUGGCACUCCUGACAAGAACCGCAGUAUCUGGUGAGAAAUGGGGAAGACUGGGACAGUGGUAACAGGGGCUGAGGGGAGGGGACAGAUUUGAGGACUAUUUGGAGGU